CGCCCCCUCCGGGUCGGAACUGCGGGGCGUCUGGCAGGGGAGGGGUCGUCGAGCCCAUUCGUCCGGUCUCCCUCCGCCCCGCUUUCCCUACACCCCCAGCCAGCGGUUCGUGCCGCAUCCUGCGCACCCCCUGCCGUGUUUGGUGCAGCGGAGCGAAGGGCGGGACGCCUCUUUGCAAUUUGAUGCGCGCGCAAGGCGGUGGGACUCCGAGGAGGUCCGAGAGGAGGGGAGGCCGGCCACCCGGGCCCCGAGCCUGGAAAGGCAAGUGGGGGUGCAUGGGGCGGGGUGGGUCCACACUCUCGACCAGCUUACACCCGCGCCCAGUCCCAGGCAGCCCAGCGAAGAGGCGGAGGCGGCUACAGGGUCGAAGCCGGUUCCUGAGAGAGGUUGGCGAUUUCAGGUGGCGGGGUGCAUCUGCUGCGGAGCUGCUUGAGAAAAAGUUGGAGCAGGAAAAUAGCCUGGAUUUCUGGAGGCUUACUUUAAGACUGGUCACUUCUGCAAGGAAGGAAAGGAGGAAGAGACUGGCUCAAUUCUCUGGAGGUUGGUGUGAAGGGGGAAAUGCAGGGGAUAGCGACAGAGUAAGAUCAUGGCAGGUCUUUGAUUCACCUCUCCUGCUCUCUGCCAGAUUUGCACACUGUCCCAGCAUUCCUUGUCCAUUUCCUGCAGGAGAUAUUACGAAUAUUGGGGUAGGUGCGAAUUGGGCUGUGAAUCGGAGGAGAAGACCUGAGAUCAGGGACCAGGAGACAGGAAACGUUAGACAAAUUGGACCCUUAAACAGAAAGAGAGAUAUUUGCAUCAGGGGUCAGGGUGUCUGCCUGUCAACCAAACCCUCAGACUCCAUUUUUUCCUGUGCGUUUGCUUGUCCAUGGAACACCCUUCUGCUCUAGGGUGUAAUUGGUACCCCUGGAAUGAAGCACGGAGUGGGAAAUUGCACCACAUCAGAGAAGGUUGGUAUGAGAUGGGUAAACUUCGGGUCGGAUAGUGGAGACCAGUGCAGUCACAACAGUAAUUAGGGUCUAGUUUCAGGACUCCUCAACCUCUCUCAUUGCCAACAUACUUUCCCACAAAUCUCACACCUGUUUGGUGGCAGGCCAAAUAGUGUGGCAGUUGUGGGCAAAAUGAAUGUGACAGAGAGACUUUCUAAUGGCCCAACAGCUCCACCAGGAAUUCAAGGUCCAGUCUCUGUGUGAGUC
This 1193-nucleotide long non-coding RNA is filed under the name Rhinolophus ferrumequinum (greater horseshoe bat). RNAcentral describes it as "lncRNA (ENSRFEG00010000852.1)". The record is from RNAcentral. Lineage: Eukaryota; Metazoa; Chordata; Mammalia; Chiroptera; Rhinolophidae.